RNAcentral lists this long non-coding RNA (426 nucleotides) under Capsicum annuum. Its description in RNAcentral is "long non-coding RNA (CANN_LNC006663)". Lineage: Eukaryota; Viridiplantae; Streptophyta; Magnoliopsida; Solanales; Solanaceae. The record is from RNAcentral.
CCCGCCAAUGUGGGGUUCUCUCCUUAGGAGGGAAAAACUUUGGACUCCAUGCGGCUCACAUGGUGUAGUUAUGUCGUUAUAAGAAACUCCCACGUCCAUAAUGAUCUAAGUACCAUGAGAUACCGAGUCACUCUAAGUCAUGAUUCAAAGAGUUUGAGUUGAGUUAAAUGAUUUAUGAGAUUUAUGAAGCAUAUGUUAUUGCUGAUGACUUACGAAAAUGAUGUUUUAGAUAAUUCAAGCGAAGAGAGUUAUUAUUGUCAGUAUGCAUGAUUUGCUUAUACAUUUAUGAUAUUAUUUAAAAUGUUCCAUCCACCCCCACAUACUCAGUACAUUCCCAAGUACUGACUCCCAUACUCUUUUGUAUUCUAUAUUCCUUCAUGAUAUAGGUUCAGGUGCUCAGCCUCAGCAGCGACAGUGAUCUUUGAG